This 24-nucleotide non-coding RNA is filed under the name Rattus norvegicus (Norway rat). The record is from RNAcentral. Lineage: Eukaryota; Metazoa; Chordata; Mammalia; Rodentia; Muridae.
AAGGUUUCACAGUUGGCAGAUGGC